This 497-nucleotide ribosomal RNA is filed under the name uncultured bacterium. RNAcentral's name for it is "partial 16S ribosomal RNA". It matches the Rfam family "Bacterial small subunit ribosomal RNA", at positions 28 to 507 of the family's 1533-position model. The record is from RNAcentral.
GAUGAACGCUGGCGGCGUGCCUAAUACAUGCAAGUCGAGCGAACAGACGCGUAGCUUGCUCCUCUGACGGUAUCGGCGGACGGGUGAGUAGCACGUGGUUAACCUACCUAUACCACUGGCAUAAUUUCGGGAAACCGGAGUGAAUACCGCAUAAUAUAUUGAACCUCUUGGUUCAUUAGUGUAGGACGGUUUUUCUUUCACUUGUGGAUGGAUCCGCGCCGCAUUAGCUAGUUGGUAAGGUAACGGCUUACCAAGGCAACGAUGCGUAGCCGCCCUGAGAGGGUGAUCGGCCGCACUGGAACGGAGGCACGGUCGAGCAUCCUACGGGAGGCAGCAGUAGGGAAGCUUACGGAAUGGGCGAAGGAUUGACGGAGCAGCGCCGCGGGAGGGAUGAAGGUCGUCGGCUCGUAAAAAUCUGUUAUUGGGGAAGAACAAAUGUGUAAGUGACUAUGCACGUCUUGACGGUACCUAAUCAGAAAGCCACGGCUAACUACGUG